Molecule: ribosomal RNA, 553 nt
Filed under: Cryptosporidium andersoni
Lineage: Eukaryota; Apicomplexa; Conoidasida; Eucoccidiorida; Cryptosporidiidae
Description: SSU rRNA
Rfam family: Eukaryotic small subunit ribosomal RNA
Source: RNAcentral
CGUAGGCACGAAGCCUGCUUGUUCAGGACAUUCUGGAUCGAUUCCCCAGACAGACCUGAAUUCUUAUACCCCCACAAGAGAAGGUCUCAGGCGCGCAAGUUACCCAAUCCUGACACAGGGAGGUAGUGACAAGAAAUAACAAUACAGGGCCUAACGGUCUUGUAAUUGGAAUGAGUGAAGUAUAAACCCCUUUACGAGUAUCAAUUGGAGGGCAAGUCUGGUGCCAGCAGCCGCGGUAAUUCCAGCUCCAAUAGCGUAUAUUAAAGUUGUUGCAGUUAAAAAGCUCGUAGUUGGAUUUCUGUUGUAUAAUUUAUAAUAUUACCAAGGGAAUUAUUAUAUUAUCAACAUCCUUCCUAUUAUAUUCUAAAUAUAUAGGAAAUUUUACUUUGAAAAAAUUAAAAUGCUUAAAGCAGGGAACUGCCUUGAAUACUCCAGCAUGGAAUAAUAAGUAAGGACUUUUGUCUUUCUUAUUGGUUCUAAGACAAAAGUAAUGGUUAAUAAGGACCGUUGGGGGCAUUCCUAUUUAACAGUCAGAAGUGGAUUUUCUUAAAAA